Molecule: small nuclear RNA, 104 nt
Organism: Bos taurus (domestic cattle)
Lineage: Eukaryota; Metazoa; Chordata; Mammalia; Artiodactyla; Bovidae
Source: Ensembl
GUGCUCGCUUCGGCAGCACAUAUACUAAAAUUGGAACGAUACAGAGAUUAGCAUGGCCCCUGCACAAGGAUGACACGCAAAUUCAUAAAGCGUUCCAUAUUAAA